CUACGGGAGGCAGCAGUGGGGAAUAUUGCGCUAAUGCGCGAAAGCGUGACGCAGCGACGCCGCGUGGGGGAUGAAGGCCCUCGGGUCGUAAACCCCUUUCGGCAGGGACGAAGCGAGAGUGACGGUACCUGCAGAAGAAGCACCGGCUAACUCCGUGCCAGCAGCCGCGGUAAUACGGAGGGUGCAAGCGUUGUUCGGAAUUACUGGGCGUAAAGCGCGUGUAGGCGGCCUUGCAAGCCAGACGUGAAAGCCCUCGGCUUAACCGGGGAAGUGCGUCUGGAACUGCUUGGCUUGAGUACGGGAGAGGGAGGCGGAAUUCCCAGUGUAGAGGUGAAAUUCGUAGAUAUUGGGAGGAACACCGGUGGCGAAAGCGGCCUCCUGGACCGAUACUGACGCUGAGACGCGAAAGCGUGGGGAGCAAACAGGAUUAGAUACCCUGGUAGUCCACGCGGUAAACGAUGGGCACUAGGUGUGGGGGGUAUCCACUCCUCCCGUGCCGAAGCUAACGCAUUAAGUGCCCCGCCUGGGGAGUACGGCCGCAAGGUUAAAACUCAAAGGAAUUGACGG
This 567-nucleotide ribosomal RNA is filed under the name uncultured bacterium. Its description in RNAcentral is "bacterial SSU rRNA". It matches the Rfam family "Bacterial small subunit ribosomal RNA", at positions 339 to 916 of the family's 1533-position model. The record is from RNAcentral.